ACAAACUGAAAGAAAAAAUUUCAAAAUAGAAAAGUUAAAACACACGUACUCUAUCAUUACCAGAUCCAAGAACUGAAAAAAUCCAGGACAUUUACAGAGACUUUGGCCAAGAAUGGAUUCUCAUCAACAGGGAGAAGACACCAACACAGACACAGCUUCCACAUCCGACUGCGACUGGGAGAUUGUGGAAAACUCAGAAAUUGAACAGGAGGAGAAUACCCAUCAGCAAAGUUCAAUUUUCAGCUUUUUAUCUGAUACAGCAGGAUCAAUUGUGACUUCUGUGAGUAACGUAGCAGUUAAGCAAUAAACUCACACCUUUGUGUUUUAUGAGAAAAAUUCCCCAACAGGUAGUUGUAUUACAUCAAUUAGAAAUUAUGUUCAGGCUUCAUAGCAGAAAAACUGCCCUUUAAGAAAAAAUAAAGCACCCCAUCCCAAAAUGAAAUACAGGAAAUUAAAGUAGAAAACUAAAGGCGAUACAAACAUUUUUGCAAAGGCACUAACAACAACACCAACUCAAAAUCAGUCCACUUGUGACUGUAGCCCAUGGUGUGAAAAACAGAAAAG
Long non-coding RNA from Erpetoichthys calabaricus (reedfish), 564 nucleotides. RefSeq lists it as uncharacterized. Lineage: Eukaryota; Metazoa; Chordata; Cladistia; Polypteriformes; Polypteridae. The transcript has 5 exons. The record is from RefSeq and is a predicted model, not a curated record.